UCCGAGUUGACCCCGGCAGUCUCCUAUGAGUCCCCGCCAUCACGCGCUGGCAACAUAGAACGAGGGUUGCGCUCGUUGCGGGACUUAACCCAACAUCUCACGACACGAGCUGACGACAGCCAUGCACCACCUGUGAUCGUGCCCCGAAGGGAAGACGUGUUUCCACGCCGGUCACGAACAUGUCAAGCCCAGGUAAGGUUCUUCGCGUUGCGUCGAAUUAAACCACAUGCUCCGCUGCUUGUGCGGGCCCCCGCCAAUUCCUUUGAGUUUCAACCUUGCGGCCGUAGUCCCCAGGCGGUUCACUUAAUGCGUUAGCUGCGGCACCGAGGGGAACCCCCCAACACCUAGUGAACAUCGUUUAUGGCUAAGACUA
This 373-nucleotide unclassified non-coding RNA is filed under the name uncultured Actinomycetes bacterium. Its description in RNAcentral is "uncultured actinobacterium contains 16S-23S intergenic spacer region". The record is from RNAcentral. Lineage: Bacteria; Bacillati; Actinomycetota; Actinomycetes.